CAGCAGCCGCGGGAAUACAGAGGGUGCGAGCGUUAAUCGGAUUUACUGGGCGUAAAGCGUGCGUAGGCGGCUUCUUAAGUCGGAUGUGAAAUCCCUGAGCUUAACUUAGGAAUUGCAUUCGAUACUGGGAAGCUAGAGUAUGGGAGAGGAUGGUAGAAUUUCAGGUGUAGCGGUGAAAUGCGUAGAGAUCUGGAGGAAUACCGAUGGCGAAGGCAGCCAUCUGGCCUAAUACUGACGCUGAGGUACGAAAGCAUGGGGAGCAAACAGGAUUAGAUACCCCCGUAGUCCCUGUCUCUUAUAC
This 301-nucleotide ribosomal RNA is filed under the name uncultured bacterium. Its description in RNAcentral is "partial 16S ribosomal RNA". It matches the Rfam family "Bacterial small subunit ribosomal RNA", at positions 509 to 807 of the family's 1533-position model. The record is from RNAcentral.